Molecule: ribosomal RNA, 484 nt
Filed under: uncultured bacterium
Lineage: Bacteria
Description: partial 16S ribosomal RNA
Rfam family: Bacterial small subunit ribosomal RNA
Source: RNAcentral
AUUGAACGCUGGCGGCAUGCUUUACACAUGCCAGUCGAACGGCAGCGCGGGCUUCGGCCUGGCGGCGAGUGGCGAACGGGUGAGUAAUGCAUCGGAACGUGCCCAGUAGUGGGGGAUAGCCCGGCGAAAGCCGGAUUAAUACCGCAUACGACCUGAGGGUGAAAGCGGGGGACCGAAAGGCCUCGCGCUAUUGGAGCGGCCGAUGUCGGAUUAGCUAGUUGGUGGGGUAAAGGCUUACCAAGGCGACGAUCCGUAGCUGGUCUGAGAGGACGACCAGCCACACUGGGACUGAGACAAGGCCCAGACUCCUACGGGAGGCAGCAGUGGGGAAUUUUGGACAAUGGGGGCAACCCUGAUCCAGCCAUGCCGCGUGCGGGAAGAAGGCCUUCGGGUUGUAAACCGCUUUUGUUCGGGAAGAAAUCCUCUGGGCUAAUACCCCGGGGGGAUGACGGUACCGGAAGAAUAAGCACCGGCUAACUACGUG